RNAcentral lists this ribosomal RNA (467 nucleotides) under uncultured bacterium. RNAcentral describes it as "partial 16S ribosomal RNA". It matches the Rfam family "Bacterial small subunit ribosomal RNA", at positions 28 to 507 of the family's 1533-position model. The record is from RNAcentral.
GAUGAACGCUGGCGGCGUGCUUAACACAUGCAAGUCGAACGGAAAGGCCCAAGCUUGCUUGGGUACUCGAGUGGCGAACGGGUGAGUAACACGUGGGUGAUCUGCCCUGCACUUCGGGAUAAGCCUGGGAAACUGGGUCUAAUACCGGAUAGGACCACUUCUUGGAUGUUGUGGUGGAAAGUUUUUUCGGUGUGGGAUGAGCUCGCGGCCUAUCAGCUUGUUGGUGGGGUAAUGGCCUACCAAGGCGUCGACGGGUAGCCGGCCUGAGAGGGUGUACGGCCACAUUGGGACUGAGGUACGGCCCAGACUCCUACGGGAGGCAGCAGGGGGGAAUAUUGCACAAGGGGCGCAAGCCUGAUGCAGCGACGCCGCGGGGGGGAUGACGGCCUUCGGGUUGGAAACUCCUUUCGCUAGGGACGAAGCGUUUUGUGACGGUACCUGGAGAAGAAGCACCGGCUAACUACGUG